This 226-nucleotide long non-coding RNA is filed under the name Elaeis guineensis (African oil palm). RNAcentral describes it as "long non-coding RNA (EGUI_LNC078842)". Lineage: Eukaryota; Viridiplantae; Streptophyta; Magnoliopsida; Arecales; Arecaceae. The record is from RNAcentral.
GGGGUAUCCAGUUUAUGUUAAGUAUUUAAAGAUAGAUAAGCUUGGACCGAAGUCUAAUAGAUGCUUAUUCAUAGGGUAUCCAAAGGAAACUAAAGGGUAUUACUUCUACCUCACUGCAGAACCAAAAGAUAUUUAUUAGCAGUUGGAUAGUCUUUUUGGAAAAGAAGUUUCUUGGUGAAGGAGCUAAUGUCUGUAAAAUUAAACUUGAUGAAGUUCAUGAGGUGGA